This is a non-coding RNA of Camelina sativa (false flax), 1412 nucleotides long. Lineage: Eukaryota; Viridiplantae; Streptophyta; Magnoliopsida; Brassicales; Brassicaceae. The record is from RefSeq and is a predicted model, not a curated record.
UUUAGGCCCGCGGGCAUAGCCCGUUAUGUAGCUUAGCGGAUCGGGCAUGGGCUCUUAAUUUGAUGCCCAAAAAGUGGCGGGUCACGCGGACUCAGCCCGUUUGGUUUGCGGGUCAAGCGGAUUGUGACCGCUGAUGACCGCGGGGUAAACGGGCGGUCUGCAAUUGUCACAGUUCCAUCACUGAUUCACUUCUAUGCCAGUUCACAAGCGAUGGUGCGGCACAGGGGAGGAGAUUCGGGCUAGAUUCGGGGUCAAAUCCGAAGAAGACGAAAAAGGUACAAACACUUUCUCUCUCGCUGAUCGUGUUUGUCUCUCAAUUUCAAUCUUCUGGGCUCAUUUCUGAUUUGUCUCUUCCCUAAAUCCCUUGUUAGUUGUUACAACAACUACUACAAAAUUAGGGCUUUAACGAGGAAGAACAUCACUUUGAAUCUUAAGGUUGUUUCAAGAUCAAAAGUAUGGAUCUUAAUUUAGAUGAGAAUGAGAUUCUAAAGGCUCGAAUCAAACAACUUGAACUUGGUACGUUUUCUCAAUUUCUCAACUGUAGUUUCUUUUUGUGUAUUUCUCUUGGUGGUACUAGUUAUUUAGACCUUGGACAUGUUUCUAGGCUUGUAGAAAUGGUUUUUUAGUCUUACGUUUUUGCUUCUCUGCAGCCUUCUUCAAGUGUAUUCUGCUGCAUUUUGCCUUCUCUGAUGCAAAAGAUUAUUUUUCUCUUUUAGUUAUUUACUUGUGUUUUCUUCUAAUAAACUUGAUAUUGAGUUAGUUUAUAGCAAAUGGUGUAUGACGACAUCAUCACUUGUUACACUUUCAGAAAUUCUUCCCUUUCUCUUUUGGGUUAUGCACUUAAUUUGACCUUGGCUACUCUGUGCGUUAUGCUUUUGUGAAGAUAUUAUCUAUCAUGGUUUUUUGAGACUCCAUUUUACUUCUGCAUCUUGAUUACCUGAUAUAUGUUGAGUCUGACCACUAGUAUUUCUUAUAACUAGAGCGUAGUGAACUAUAGAAAGAUAUUGAACAGUUGUGCAUGCAACAAGGUGGACCUAGAAUUCUUGGUGUGGCUACUCGGAUGCAUUUCCAGAGGACAGCUAGCUUGGAGCAGGAGUUAGAGAGCUUAAAACUGAAGUUGGCUGCUUGCACAAGAGAGAAAAACAAUAUUUAAGAGGAACUUGCAGAAUCUUAUCGUAUGAAAGUGAUUAUCUUUCUAAAGAAGAGAUGCCCGCGGGCAUGCCCGUUAGUCCGCAAAGCUAGGCGGAGCGGGCAUGGGCAGUGAUACUUUGCCCGCCGCCCGUGGCGGACCUGUCCGCAGCGGAUCACUGAAAAUACGGGACCGUCACGGUCAGCCCGUUCGGGCGCGGGCAUGCCCGUUUGACACCCCUAGCUGGACAUUAUUCAACUGUGGUACCCUUUACUCCAAGCUU